Molecule: long non-coding RNA, 1167 nt
Filed under: Canis lupus familiaris (dog)
Lineage: Eukaryota; Metazoa; Chordata; Mammalia; Carnivora; Canidae
Description: lncRNA (ENSCAFG00030014774.1)
Source: RNAcentral
AUGAUCACGCGAAAUAAGCUCAGGUACACGCCGAGGCAUGCGGGGCCUGCCAGACGCCGGCCCCAAACAGCCAGAUCUCCUCCCUGGUGUCAGAAAGGGUGCCUGCCCCGGGCCCCAAGGGGGAGGGGGCCAGAGGCUUCCCAGGGGCUUGGGGUCGGGGAGGGCCUCAGCACCCCGUACUGCCCAGCCUCUCCCAGAUUGGCCCCUCUGGAGGGCCUGCGUCCUCCAUGGGGCAGCGGUGGCUCCGAGUGGCUCGGUGCUCCCCAGGUCCACACCUCACCUGGGACUCCCUUCCACCUGUAUGGGGCAGGGGCAAAUGCCUGCGGUCAGGCCCCAGGGCUCCAAUGCCCUCAGAUCCAGGCCUGCCUCCCCCUCCCCCGGGAGAGGGCCUGGCUCCCCAGUCAAUGGCGACCUCUCACCCCUCCCCCAAACAUGCCCCAGGGCCCUAUUGCUACGGUCAGGGAGGUGUCCCUCCUCCACCAGAGUAGGGGGUGUGGGUGGCCCACAGGAGGCUGGGACAGGAGCCCCCUCUUCAGGGUCCCUGCAGGGGCUCCACGCCCUGCAAGACGUUUCCAAGGCUGUAUCCCGCCACCAGCAGAACUUUCUGGGAAAUCUGGGUCAUUUUACCAGGAACCUACCCGCGGGAGGUCACUGUCAUUGAUGCUAUCAACCGCCUUCCCCUUGAGGCUCCCCAGUCCUCCCUCCAAGGGGCAACCGCCCCCAGGAACCUGUUCUCUUCAGAAGAGGGUCAGCAGCAGCCAGAACUGCCUCAAACUUUGGCGUGCUGGGGUUCCCAGUGCCCUUGGUCAGGACCCCAGGUCAGCCUGCAGGCCUGGGACACGGUGCUGGGCAGGUGGGCGGCUGAGGGAGCCACCGGCGCAGCAGGUGAACUCUGCGGCCGGCCUCCCUUCUGGGGAGCGACCUCGGGGCUCCCCGCGCGGCUGGCCGGCCUGCACAUGGGGGGCUCCGUUCCCAGGACCCCAGGGACUUCCACCUGGCCACGGGCACUCGCCCCCAGCCUGGGCAGCCCCUGCCUCGCCUGCUCCCGCCCGCCCGCGCUCCCCCCGGCCACGGUCUCCGAGAACCCACCCCGGGUGCCGUGCACCCUGCGCCAGCCUCAGGGGGGCCUGGGCGCCCAGCGCGGGGAGGUCGGGCGGGGGACGCAGG